RNAcentral lists this ribosomal RNA (248 nucleotides) under uncultured bacterium. RNAcentral's name for it is "partial 16S ribosomal RNA". It matches the Rfam family "Bacterial small subunit ribosomal RNA", at positions 57 to 305 of the family's 1533-position model. The record is from RNAcentral.
GCAAGUCGAGCGGAAACGAUGUAGCUUGCUACAGGCGUCGAGCGGCGGACGGGUGAGUAACGCGUAGGAAUCUUCCUAGUAGCGGGGGACAACAUGUGGAAACGCAUGCUAAUACCGCCUAAGCACUACGGGGGAAAGGAGGGGAUCUUCGAACCUUUCGCUAUUAGAUGAGCAUGCGUGAGAUUAGCUUGUUGGUGAGGUAAAGGCUCACCAAGGCGACGAUCGCUAGCUGGUCUGAGAGGAUGACC